CAGCAGCCGCGGUAAAACGUAGGGUGCAAGCGUUAAUCGGAAUUACUGGGCGUAAAGCGUGCGCAGGCGGUUAUAUAAGACAGAUGUGAAAUCCCCGGGCUCAACCUGGGAACUGCAUUUGUGACUGUAUAGAUAGAGUACGGCAGAGGGGGAUGGAAUUCCGCGUGUAGCAGUGAAAUGCGUAGAUAUGCGGAGGAACACCGAUGGCGAAGGCAAUCCCCUGGGCCUGUACUGACGCUCAUGCACGAAAGCGUGGGGAGCAAACAGGAUUAGAUACCCCGGUAGUCCCUGUCUCUUAUAC
This 301-nucleotide ribosomal RNA is filed under the name uncultured bacterium. Its description in RNAcentral is "partial 16S ribosomal RNA". It matches the Rfam family "Bacterial small subunit ribosomal RNA", at positions 509 to 807 of the family's 1533-position model. The record is from RNAcentral.